AGUGAAUAGAUACCCUGGUAGUCCCAGCCGUAAACGAUGCUCGCUAGGUGUCAGGCAUGGCGCGACCGUGUCUGGUGCCGCAGGGAAGCCGUGAAGCGAGCCACCUGGGAAGUACGGCCGCAAGGCUGAAACUUAAAGGAAUUGGCGGGGGAGCACAACAACGGGUGGAGCCUGCGGUUUAAUUGGACUCAACGCCGGACAACUCACCGGGGGCGACAGCAAUAUGUAGGCCAAGCUGAAGACUUUGCCUGAAUCGCUGAGAGGAGGUGCAUGGCCGUCGCCAGUUCGUACUGUGAAGCAUCCUGUUAAGUCAGGCAACGAGCGAGACCCGUGCCCACUGUUACCAGCAUGUCCUCGGAC
Molecule: ribosomal RNA, 360 nt
Filed under: uncultured bacterium
Lineage: Bacteria
Description: bacterial SSU rRNA
Rfam family: Archaeal small subunit ribosomal RNA
Source: RNAcentral